This is a long non-coding RNA of Lycium ferocissimum, 1944 nucleotides long. RefSeq lists it as uncharacterized. Lineage: Eukaryota; Viridiplantae; Streptophyta; Magnoliopsida; Solanales; Solanaceae. The transcript is spliced from 6 exons. The record is from RefSeq and is a predicted model, not a curated record.
CUUCAAAUGAAACACAGGUGUUCUAUUCAUGUCACCACUCACCACUUCAGCUCUAUAUUUUUCCCUUACUUCUUGGUUGCUCCUUCAGGAUUUUCCUUUUUCUUUUGUUGCUUCUCUUUCUUCUUUUCUUAUCUUUGUUCGUGGUCAGUUCGCUGUACAUCUUUCCCCCCUGAACUGUUUUAUAAUUGGACCUGACAAUUGGAAAGUCUCAAAAUGCGAUAGGAUGUUUUGGAGUUCUGAGAGAUAGUGCUCUAAAUGUCCGUUUGAGUCCUUUCAUUGUGAAUGCGAUGGCAAUUUUGGAAGUUAAGUUUCUUCAUUGUUCUUUUCGUCCAUAUUCUGCAUUUUUCAUGGUUGGUUCUAUAUUCUAUAUGCUCCGCCUUCUAUGCUUUUUUUUUUUUGGGCUUAAUCUCUGAGUGAUUUCUACUGCUGUCUAACUUUUGUCGUGAGAUUUGGUGAGUUCUUUUUUCUUUACUUCCUUACCCUGCUUUUGUUAGUUGGUUUGUUUGCAUGUAUGUGGUUUCAUUUGUUAGGCUAAAUGGUGAGAUUAAGUAAGAGGUUAGUGUUUAAGGAUGUAAGCCACUACAAAUGUUUCUUUUCCUGUGCUCUCUUCAAUGUUAUCCAAGAUCACAUAUUUGCAAUUUUAACUUGGGGUUCAAGGGGUCUUAGGAAUUCAAGGAAGUAAUGACCGUUUUGAGUGUCCUGGGAUUGUUCGCUGUUGAUUCAACCUCUAUGGUGUUAUAGCAGUUUAAAGAGCGAGUAUUAAGAAGAUCUGAGUUGACAGAGGAAGAUAUGGUGCUCAAUACAUAAAAGGCCACCCACAAGAAAAACUAAUGAACUUGAGAGAAAUGAUCAGGUUAGAGGCGAUUUACUGGCAAAGGGAAUUGCUCUAAUGGAUGUAGGAACACAAACUGUUUGGAGGCCUUGCAGAGUAAUUGUUUAUUUUAUUUUUGGAUAGGUGACUUCUCCUAUUAAUCAAGUUGGUGAUCGCAAUUUGGCUAUGCUUAAAACUUUGGCAGAUGAUUACUAUUCGCAUAUGCUUUAUUGAUUUGCUUGCUUAUGAACUUCCUCAAAUGAAAUGAAAGUCCUACCUGGAGUGCUUCUGUGCAAUCAAGGACAACAAACAGUUGUGUUCUGUUAAUGGUAUUUUUAGACUCUCUGACUUAUAUGCUGAAUCAAGAAGAAUCUUUUUUUUUACUUUGUGUGAAUCUUGCUUUGGGGAUUCCUUGACGUUCUUCUGGGAAGAAUGACGAUGGCAAGGGGGCUAGGAAAGUUUUUUUUUUUUUUUGCCUCUGACAUAGCACUACAAAAACAGAAAAAAAAAAAAAAAAAAACUGUGAGUUGAUACCUCUUUACUUCUUGCAUGAAGAUAUAUGGGUGUCUGCUUUGUAGGAUAAAGUAACUAUACUUCAAUUUGCUUGAAUUGAUGGUUCAGAAUCAUAAGAUUUGCCUGACAUACAUAAGUUGAUAUAGACUUAUUCCAAUUAUGCCUUAUUAUUUCCUUAUAUUGAUAAUAUUUUGGACGAAUGUUGUAUUUUCCCAGUUAGCAAAGGUUAUCAUGUUCCUUCCUACAUGCAGAUUGCGAAGGAAGGAAAGAUAUAUUCAGGGGAUGGAGCAUGUGCCAACAAUAUUCAUGUAUAUGUAGAAAAAUGUUGAAGGGAAGGGCUUAACUUUGACUAAGAGAAUGAUGAUAUCCAUAAAGGAAACUUUCAGUGCCUUAUGGUUGAUCAAUAGAAGAUGACGGGAUCUACAGGAAGCAUAAGGAAAGUCAUAAAUUCUGAUCUCUUAAUGGAAGAUGUAACACGGGAUGGCUGAAAUGGUUUUCUGUCAAGACCUACCGCCCCCUUUAAUUACUAUUUUGUUCAUUCUAACAUAAAAGUAGAUAAGCUUAUGUAUUUUUUGAAUUGGUAAUCCUUGAUGUAUACUUUAAUGUUCUAUUUGAGCAAA